AUGACACUUAGAAUCUUAAUUAAGAAAUCCAUUUGCCUCUGGAACGAUGACCAUAGCAUCCAAUUAAUCAGAUGUGACCAAAAUGUCAAGAUCCUCAUAAAGAAAUCUUUCACUCAUCUGGGUUUUAAUAUCAAGAGAUUUUUAUUUUUUUGUAAUUUUUUUUUGAGCCUUAUAAAUAAAGGGCAUGGAAGGAAUUGACUUAUUUAUAGUUUCUUCUUAUUUCAUGGUGAUUGUGCUUGCCAUCCCUCCCAUACAGCUGCAGAGCUCCUUAGAUGGGAAAGACAUAGACUGAGUAAUCAUAAUGGCUACUAAAAAGGAGAAACACAAAAGGGUUGGGUUCAAAACAAGAUCCAAACCCAGCUCUGGUGCCCCUCACUCUCUGUGUAAUGUGUUACGAUUACUUCUUUUAAAUGUAAUGUUGAAACCCAUUUAAGCCCAGAUGCUGUCACUGGAAACUCAUAAAAACACCAGUUUAAGCAGUCCCACACCAGUUGAGCAUCCCAUUAGCCUUUCUCAGACAAUGGCCAGCACCAACAGGGGAAAAAACUUAAGAAACACAACAAUGAUCCGUUCCUCUUUCCUUUCUUCUAGUGAUCAGUGCUGCAGGCAUUUCCUCCUCUUGAUAUCACAUUAGGGCCAUUGUUUAGUUAUCCUCAAUGGACCUUUCUCCAAUUGACUUGCCUGAUCCCAUUUUGAACCUGCUAAUAUUUUUCACAUCCAAACUUAAUUUAGCAGUGAGUCAUACAGCUCAAUAUCUUGUUGUGUGGAAAAUUGUUCUCUUUGGUUUUAACUGUUUUUAUCUGUCAUUGGAUAAAUUAUUUUGUUUAUAUGGCAAGGAAUAAUGAAUAAUUGUUCCUUAUUCAUCUUCUCUGUCCUAGUUAUGAUUUUAUAAACCUUCUCUCCCCUCACACACAAGCCAUCCCGAGCUGAAGAAAGCUUGCCUGCUUAGCUUCAGCAGGUGCUGAGCCAUACUUGCAGCCACCCUUGUCCCCCUUCAGAGUACUCCAAGUUCUACUGUAUCCUUUCAGAGAGAGCAUCACCAGAGUUAUACCAAAACACUCGCCAGAUGUGAAAAAUGUGCAACAAUGGAAGUACUCCAGGAUAUAAAAUAAUAGGACUUGUGGCUUGUGGAGUAACUGGUUUGGGAGUUUGACUGGUUUUAUCUUGAAUAGAAAAAUGAUGUUUUCAUCUCUCUUUCUAAAUGAGUUCAAGCUGCUUUACAUUUGGACUAAGCAAGCUAGGACUUGCACCAGAAUAGGAAUGUUCACUCACAGAGGCAAUCUACAGUAGCCUUCCAUUUAAAAAUUUCUCCCUAUCCUGUUAUACGUCAAUUUUCAUCCAUCUACAAACCCUCAGUCUCAGAGCUUUCUGCAUUUCUUUCACAGGAGCACUGUGUGGAUUAAUUAAUGCACACUAUUGGUUGAAACUAAUUAGUGACAAAAUUUAAUUACCUUCAACACCAGUUGACUCUUAUCCACACAUGUGCAAACUAUAAUUUCCCAUUCCUUUGGGAUACAUUUCUCAUAUGGGCUGCACAUGUUUCAUAAAUUGAAAUGUGUUGGAGGUUCUCCUUGUUCUGGGAAAUUUUUGUGGUCUGCAAACCACAGACACAAGCAGGAGUCCAAAAGACUUCAGUAGAACACAGCCUGCUCUAGCACAGUAGAUACACAGGUCAAUAAAUAUGCAAGUACUGCACCUAAAUUGAUACUA
This is a long non-coding RNA of Cyanistes caeruleus (blue tit), 1710 nucleotides long. The record is from Ensembl. NCBI's taxonomy places the organism in Eukaryota, Metazoa, Chordata, Aves, Passeriformes, Paridae.